Molecule: ribosomal RNA, 487 nt
Filed under: uncultured bacterium
Lineage: Bacteria
Description: bacterial SSU rRNA
Rfam family: Bacterial small subunit ribosomal RNA
Source: RNAcentral
CUAUCGAUUAUGGAUGGACCCGCGUCUGAUUAGCUAGUUGGUGGGGUAAAGGCCUACCAAGGCGACGAUCAGUAGCCGGCCUGAGAGGGUGAACGGCCGCACUGGGACUGAGACACGGCCCAGACUCCUACGGGAGGCAGCAGUGGGGAAUCUUCCGCAGUGGACGAAAGUCUGACGGAGCAACGCCGCGUGUAUGAUGAAGGUCUUCGGAUUGUAAAGUACUGUCUUUGGGGAAGAACGGUCUUCUUGAAAAUAUUGAGGGGAUAUGACGGUACCCAGAGAGGAAGCCCCGGCUAACUACGUGCCAGCAGCCGCGGUAAUACGUAGGGGGCGAGCGUUGUCCGGAAUUAUUGUGCGUAAAGGGCGCGUAGGCGGAUGGUUAAGUCCGAUGUGAAAGAUCAGGGCUCAACCCUGAGGGUGCAUCGGAGACUGGGCAUCUUGAGGACAGGACAGGAAAGUGGAAUUCCACGUGUAGCGGUGAAAUGCG